This 84-nucleotide small RNA is filed under the name Marmota monax (woodchuck). The record is from RNAcentral. Lineage: Eukaryota; Metazoa; Chordata; Mammalia; Rodentia; Sciuridae.
ACCGGUUGUGGUGGUGCACACCUGUAAUCCCAGAAACAUGGGAGGCUGAGGCAGGAGGAUGGCAAAUUCAAGAUCUAGCCUCAG